RNAcentral lists this ribosomal RNA (404 nucleotides) under uncultured bacterium. RNAcentral describes it as "bacterial SSU rRNA". It matches the Rfam family "Bacterial small subunit ribosomal RNA", at positions 355 to 776 of the family's 1533-position model. The record is from RNAcentral.
UGGGGAAUAUUGGACAAUGGGCGCAAGCCUGAUCCAGCCAUGCCGCGUGAGUGAUGACGGCCCUAGGGUUGUAAAGCUCUUUCGCAGGUGAAGAUAAUGACGGUAACCUGAGAAGAAGCCCCGGCUAACUUCGUGCCAGCAGCCGCGGUAAUACGAAGGGGGCUAGCGUUGUUCGGAAUUACUGGGCGUAAAGCGCACGUAGGCGGAUAUUUAAGUCAGGGGUGAAAUCCCGGGGCUCAACCCCGGAACUGCCUUUGAUACUGGAUAUCUCGAGUCCGAGAGAGGUGAGUGGAAUUCCGAGUGUAGAGGUGAAAUUCGUAGAUAUUCGGAGGAACACCAGUGGCGAAGGCGGCUCACUGGCUCGGUACUGACGCUGAGGUGCGAAAGCGUGGGGAGCAAACAGG